CGCUCGGCGAUCAGACGCGGCUGCAGCCCGGGCCUGGCAGGCCCCGGGCUCCCCGCCCAGCUCCCCAGCCCCGGCCCCAGCCCCGCGGAGGGUCGCGCAGGCUUUGGUGGCGGCCCCGGCGCUGGCCCCGCCCUCCGUCCCACCUUCCGGCUGCGCCGGGCCUUCCGGGAAGCCACGCGCCGGGCCAGCUCCUGGCUCCGAGCUGCGCCCGGCCUUAGGGGGAGCCGGGGGUCGCUGCUGGGCACCCCCUCCCCGGUCCUGGCCCACCCCGCCGCUGUCACCCGGGCCCUGGCUUGGGUUGCGGGUGGCGUAAGGAGACGAGGCGCCCGGAGAAGAGUCCUGGGAACCGCAAGGCCGCGCUCCCGCAGGCCCAGCCCUGCCUUUCUCCCACGCGCACGCAUGAUCACAUCCGGCCCCCGCGCACCUGCCUCCAGGACCGCGGGGACCUCCCGGAGACCUCCCUCCCUUUGGCCUGGAGGACCCCUCUCUCCCCGCAGCCUGGGCACAGAAGAGAGCACAGGGGCAUCUGGAGGUCAAGGGUGCUGCGUCAGUAUUUGAUCUCACUGAAGAGUUCUUCUGUGCCUGGAAGACUUAUUUUCAGUCUGAGAAGAAUGAUUUUUCAAUGGUUCUGUUGAACAUGCAAUUCUCACGCAAGUAUUUCUAUAAUUAUCCUGUUUCAGUUAUAAUACAGUUUCUGGAACAAUAGGACUUUUAUUGUAUUGCCAUAUCUGUUAUAAUAGAUGUUUUAUUACAGAAAAUUAUGGUAGAGUCACUAUUAUGAUUCUGAAGUUUUUAUUUCAAAUUGCUCAGAGGAUGCAAAUUCUUUCUCCCACUAGUUUUACUUUAAGGCAGCUUUGAAUUUGGGGUGGGGGUGGUUUGUCUUUUCUUCUGUUGGAGCUUUGGUCUGUUUGAGGUUUUGUUCUAUAGCAGAAUGUUCUCUUUCGUUCCAGUGUACAUAAAUGAAGUCACCCGUGGUAUUUGCUUGUUUGUUAGCCUGUGGUGCACACAAUUUUAAAAAGAAUGUCACCUAGAUUGUCUCUAUAUAUCUGCAAAAUUUCUUUCAUUAUUGCUGGAGAAGUCUCCAUAACCCUGGUAUUAAUUUUUUUUGAGAUGGAGUCUCACUUUGUCUUCCAGGCUGGAGUGCAGUGGUGCAGUCUCGGCUCACUGCAACCUCUGCCUCCCAGGUUCAAGAAAUUCUCUUACCUCAGCCUCCCUAGUAGUUGGGACUACAGGUGUGUACCACCAUGCCUGGCUAACUUUUUAUUUUUUAUUUUUUUAGACGAAGCCUCGCUCUGUCACCCAGGCUGGAGUGCAGUGGCACAAUCUUGGCUCACUGCAACCUCUGCCUCCCAAGCUCAAGCAAUUUCUGGCAAAUUUUUGUAUUUUUAGUAGGGACGGGGUUUCGCCAUGUUGUCCAGGCCGGUCUUGAACGCCUGAUAUCAAGCGAUUUGCCCUCAAGUGACCCACCCACCUUGGCCUCCCAAAGUGCUGGAAUUACAGGCAUGAGUCACGGCACACGGCCGACAAACUAUAUUUUGAGAAGGAUUUUAUUUUUCGGUGCUGAGGUGCUUUGCUGGAGGAGCUGCCAGGAGGAGCUGCGCGGGGCAGGCCCGGGGGACCAGAGGCCCUUGCUUUAGCGGCGGCCCUGCGUGUGCCAGAGGCUUGCAGAGUGAUCUGAGCACGCCAAGAGAUUGCUGUCAAUGAAAGCACCAGAUUUCCGCGUAGGAGGAACUCGGGGGCAACGAUGCAAUUGGAAGGCACUGGAAGAACUGCACCGAAAAUGACGAUGUCUUCUCAUGCAUAUGAAUUAUCCAAAGUGUAGGAAGAUGAGCCCCCACUGGAGUACGCUGAAGCCUUUAACCCAAGUACAUUUAAUGCUGCGAAGCCCUGAGUGAGGCAAAGGUGUCUUUUUAUUUUAGAAGACAUUUAGGACAGUUCAUGUCACUCUGCACAGAUGCACUGAAAUCGAUUGUGGGGCAAACUAUAAAGAGAGCUUAUGCUCCCCAAAUCUGUUUCCGAGCCAGGUAGGAUGAUGAAUUCUGAGGUGGGACUGAGGGGGAACGGUGGCAGCUCUCUCCCCUGCACGCACCGGCCAACUACUUCCCCGUUUGGACAUUGGCGUGACACCCUCCUUCCCUGUUCAUCUGUGAAAAUGUGCAGCGUUUUCAUUUAAAACCUCCUGCUCCAACAUGGGGCCUUCUGUAGACCGCAGGGACCCCCAACAAUUACUUGUUGGAAGAACAAAUGAAGCAUAAAGCAUGAUACUUUUAAACAUACAGGUGGCACAAAUUUAUUUCCAAAGAUUUAAGCACCUGAUGACUUCUCCUUAGAGAAAAAGCAAUAAAAGGAGCCUCUCCUGUCACAAAUUUCCACUUACCAUGGUUUGUGCAGAGGCAGAAUUUCAGGCUUUUACCACUGAGCUCUGGACAUGAAGCAAAGCUAACACUAGAGGGUGCUAUAGAUUAGGAAAUCCAGGGACCAUGGGCACCGGAGCGCGUUCAAGACGCUGCCCUCCCGAUUGUAACCUAACAAACUGAGCGUGUCACUUUGCCAGAAUUUACCCCUUCACCAUUUCUGCUAUGAUGAAAUUAUCCAGAUAUGUUUAAUUUGAAAUUUUGACUUAGCCUGUGAUUAUAUGGAAUUUCAAGACUGGCUGUGGCCCAGUGCAGUGGCUCACUCACACCUGUAAUCCCAGUGCUUUGGGAGGCCAAGCCUGGUGGAUGAUUUGUGGUCAGGAGUUCGAAACCAGCCUGGCCAACAUGGUGAAACCCUGUCUCUCCUAAAAAUACAAAAAUUAGCCUGGUGCCUGUAAUCCCAGCUACUCGGGAGGCUGAGGCAGGAGAAUUGCUUGAACCCUCAGGAGGCAGAGGUUGCAGUGAGCCGAGAUCACGCCACUGCACUCCAGUCCUGUCCAAAAAAAAAAAAAAAAAAAGGACUGAGCCCAGGUCUGUAGGAUAGACACUUUGUGUUUGUAUCUUAAGUACUUUGCGAUCUCACCCUUACAAACCUGAUACUAAAUUCCACUUACCUACUUCAGUCCUUCUCCGAGGGAAGGUGGAGUUUGGAGGCAAUUUUAGGAAGCAGGAUGAGGAAACAGGGAAGGUGACACAGUGCCUUCACAAGCCAACACAAGGGUGCAUUACCAAGGCUGGUCCCCUCUACAGGCACCCAGGGCUCGGUCCCACGCAGACUGCUGAGUAGACAGAAGACCUUUCAGAAUCUUCUGCCUCUCCCCCAUUGGCUGAGAGUUCCCUGGGAACGGUAACCCCCGUACCUUCGGGCUGAACAUAUGUUUGCAUGCUGAAUGGGCUCUUUCUGCCAUCCCAUGCCACAGCAUUCAGGAAGCCCUGGGGCCAAAGCAAACAGCAUGCUUGAGGCAAGGUGCUGUGAGGCCCAAAUGAGCUGAAGCUUGCACAAAACUGCUCACCACUGCCAUAGCUGAAUCAGCGGAGGCCAGGAGGAUGCGAGGCGGUGCCCGCCCGCGAUUGUCUGAUCAUCUCCCUCUUGGACUGCUCAGACUCAGGCAUGCCCUGCAUCAAAUCCAACCUGUCACCAGGUCUUCAAGGGGGAGGCCUGCGGAAAUCCUACUGUGAAUGAAACUACAGUUGCUAUUCAUCGUCUCCCUCCUGCACCUACCACUCCAGAUGUCCCUCACUCUUGGCCAGCACUUUGGCUUGUUUAAGUUGUGUGCCAGGUUCAAGAUUCACCAAGAAGGCAGGGCGCAGUGGCUCACAUCUGUAAUCCCAGCACUUUGGGAGGCUGAAGCAGGCAGAUCACUUCAGCCCAGGAGUUUGAGACCAGCCUGGGCAACAGAGCAAGACCCCAUCUCUAAAGAAAAAUAAUUAUUCAGGUGUGGUGGCACAUGCCUGUAGUCCCAGCUACUCAGGAGGCGGAGGUGGGAGGAUCGCUUGAGCCCAGGAGGUUGAGGCUGCAGUGAGCCAUGAUUGCACCAUUGCACUCUAGCUGGGCAACAGAGCAAAACCCUGUCUCCAAAAAUAAUAAGUAAAUAAAUAAAUAAGAUACUAAGAGACAUCCCAGUGACUCUCCUGAGUCCCAAACAUACUCAUCCAUCCCUCAUGGAGAAACAACUCUAUCUCCUUGCAAUAGUCAGAACUAGUUUCUCCUGCCAGUUUAAUCAGUACUUUUUUUAUUGCAGUAAAAUACACACAACAUAAAAUGUGCGACUUUAACCAUUUAUUAUUAUUAUUAUUAUUAUUAUUAUUAUUAUUGAGACGGAGUUUCGCUCUUGUUGCCCACGCUGGAGUGCAGGGGCACGAUCUUGGCUCACUGCAACUUCCACUUUCUGGGUUCAAGCGAUUCUCUUGCCUCAGCCUCCGGAGUAGCUGAGAUUACAGGCACACGCAGCCAUGCCCAGCUAAUUUUUGUAUUUUUAGUAGAGACGGAGUUUCACCAUAUUGGUCAGGCUGGUCUCAAACUCCUGACCUCAGGUGAUCCACCCACCCCUUGGCCUCCCAAAGUACUGGGAUUACAGGCGUGAACCAACAUGCCCAGCCCAUUUUAACCAUUUUUAAAUGUUCAUUCAGUGGCCUGAAUUACAUGAACAUUGCUGGACAACCAUUGCUACUAUGUAUUUCCAAAACUUUUUAAUUGCCUUAAACAGAAACCUUGUAACCAUUAAGCAACACCUCUCCAUCCCCUCUCCCCUCAGCCCCUAGUAACCACUAGCCUACUUUCUCUGCUACUUUGUCUCUUGUAGAUGUUUCAAACAAGUAGAAUGAUAUGAUACUUGUCCUUUUGAAACUGACUUAUUUUACAUAGUAUAGUGUUUUCAAGGUCCAUCCAUGUGGUAGCACGUAUUAAAGCUUCAUGCACUUUUAUGGCUGAAUAAUGUUCCAUUGUAUGUACAAGGCGUGCCACAUUUUGUUAUUCAUUCACCUGUUAAUGGCAACUUGGCUUGUUUCCACUUUUGGGCCCUUGUGGAUAAUGCUGCAGUGAACAACAGCAUGGAUGUCUCUGAGUCCUGCUUUCAGUUCUUCAGGGUAUAUGCCUAGCAGUGGAGUAGCUGAUUCUAUGUUAAUUCUAUGUUUAAUUUUUUGAGAAACUGCCAUAUUGUUCUCCAGGCUGGCUGCACCAUUCCACAUUCCCACUAACCGUGCACAAAGAUUCCAAUUUCUUACCAACACACUCUCAUCAAUACAUGUUAUUUUUAGUUUAUCGUGUUUUCAUUUUUCUUUUAUUAUAUAUAGCAGGCAUUCUAAUGGGUGUGGGGUGGUAUCUCAUUUUGGUUUUGAUCUGCAUUUUCCUAAUGUUUAGCGAUGUUGAGUAUACUUUCCUGUGGUCAUUUGUAUAUUUUCUUUGGAUGUGUAUCUGUUCAAAUCCUUUACUCAUUUUUAAUUGAGUUGUCUUUUUGUUAUUGAGUUGUAGGAGUUCCUUAUAUAUUCUUGAUUUUAAAACUUUAUCAGAUAUAUGAUUUGCAGAUAUUUUCUCCCAUUCCAUCGGUUGUUUUUUCAGUUUCUUGAUAAUGUCCUUUCAUGCACAAAAGUGUUUAGUUUUGAUGAAUUCCAAUUUGUCUCUUUUUCUUUCUUUGCUCAUGUUUUUGGUGUCGUAUCUGAGAAUCCAUUACCAAAUCCAAGGUCAUGAAGAUUUACCUGUAUGUUUUCUUGUAAGAGUUCUGAUGUUUGUCACUGAUCCAUGCUGAGUUAACAUUUAUACCGUAUAAUGUAGGGGCUACCUCUUCAUUCUUUUGCAUGUAGAAACUCCGUUAUCCUAAUUGUUGCUAAUUGCCUCUGGCCCACUGACUUGAGAAGCCCAAGAGGACCAGGGAGUAUUUGUAUUUUCAAGUUCUGUAGAAUUGGUGAUGUUCCCUGGUGGAGGAGUCCACUCUCCGCUCCUCCUCCCCCAUCAAGAACUAAGACGUCGAAUUUGCUAGAGCCCCACCCAAAGCUGUGGACACAGGAAGCACACAUUUCUCAAGGUGGUCUCUGCGAGUGAUGGUGACAGCAGCCGAUUUCACUUCCCCCGCCACCCCCUGGGUUUCCAGCCCCAUGUCUUUCUGCUGUUGGGAUCAUAGCACCAUGUGUCUGCUCUUGGUAAGGCACGUACACCACAGUUUCAAGGAUAGUAUCCCAAUUAUACAGGGUGUGGGCUCACGCUUUCACCCUGGCAUAGCCUUGGCACAGGUCAUCCUGAUGUUCUUGUAGGCCUGCUGCUUCCAGAGGAACCUUGGAGCCAUAGCUUCUUUGCUGUAAAACAGACCCCUUGGCUUGAGGCAGUGUUGUUCAAAUCCCUUGCCAAUAAAUCAGAGACAACCGUAAGUGCUCUGUUGGUGAUGCCAGUGAAGGCACUGUUGCAAGGAAGGAAAAUCCAUAUCCAGAGUCGGUGUUCACUCUGCUAGGACUCAUCACUGUCUCAUCAAUGACAGAAGGGGUCUCAUAUAAUGAACUUUGCACUGUGACUGCCUGAUCUCCUUGUGAAAUGGUGCCAUCUUGAGGGCUCAUUAUUAGUCCAUGUGGUUGGCAGGUAGGGCAUUCAGUAGUGGCAGCAGCCAGGUCAUCUCUAGCAAGAGGGAACUUGUGUUGGGCUCAUGCCUCCCUUGACUUUUGCCACCAUGGCCACACCAUUCAUGGAACUAUCUAUUUCCCCUGCCAUGGGGUGGCUGAUGCUGGCUGAUGCCCAGAGGAUGAACCAUCCUGUCCACCCAGUUGCUAGGUGCCUCCUCUGCAGGAGAGGCUUUUUGGCAGACCUUAACGUAAGUCCAAUGAUUGGCACGCUAGUGCCAUUUCCAUAGGUCAGUAGUACUGAUUUUUCCUUUUGUCUCAGACACCAAUAUGGCUCGGCACAGCAGUUACUGAUCCUGUCUCUAUUUGAAAUUUUAAUAUUUUGCUCAUCAUGGAUUUUUGCAUUAAUUUUAACUCUUUAAAAUAUUGCAUUAACAUAUUAUGCAUCUUCAUGUUAUUAUUAUUCCUCUUCAGCUUCCCAAAGUGCUGGGAUUACAGGCUGAGCCACCGUGCCCAGCUCAAAUGCAUUAUUUUCACUGCUGAUGGGUUGCUGUUGUGUCCUCCCAAUCUAUGACUUGAUGGGCCUCACUGUAAUCAGUUCCAGGAACAAAGUCACUCACUGUCCUGUGUAGUCUCCGAGUCUCUGCGAGGACCCACUGCACGGCAGGAGCUAGUCUCAGACUGAGAUGAGUUCUCGGCAGCAGAAGGCACCACCGCACUCCCAAGGGCUAAAGGUUUACCCUGCACCUCUCCUACUGAAGCUUGCAGAGGGUUGGCAUGGCAGCCUUCUUCGUCAUAGGAGACUCUAAGACUGAUAUUUUUGGCUCCUCUGGGUUGUGCAGCUUGAGUGGAAGAGCAGAUCCUCUCACAGCCUAGACCUCCUGGCCAGCUGUUUCUUGCCCUAGACUCCAUUCCGAGUGGCAGUCUCCCAAGCUGUCUGAUAGGCGGAUGGGAGAAGUAUCAGCAAGUAUGCUACUUCUAGUGUCCCAGGUGGUGCACCCAGCACUGUGCCUCUUCCCUAGUGCAGCUGAAGGAAAGCUGCCACUGCCUGUGCCUUCCUUUACAAGGGUUGUCCUGGCAUGUGUCAGACCACUGGGUCCCCUAACAACCUUGCCAAUGUGCCAGUCCCCUGAAUGUUUCUGGGCUUUAGCCCCUGCCCUUGGCUUGCACGUGUCUUCUUCCUAGGACAUCCGGGGUGCUUGUGUCAUAUGCUGGUAGCAUAAUGUCAUCAACAGUGCACCAGUGUGCUGUGCAAACUAUCCCGAGACAGCCUGUAUGCAUGCAAAGUAUGCUCAAAAGCACCCAAGGCCGAGGCGUGGCAGCUCAUGCCUAUAAUUCCAGCACUUUGGGAGGCUGAGACUGAUGGAUCACUUAAGCCUAGCAGUUUGAGACUAGCCUGAGCAAAAUAGUGAGACCCUAUCUCAACUGAAAACAAAAAAAGAAAAAGAAAAAGAAAUUAGCUAGGUGUGGUGAUAUGCGCCUGGGGUCCCAGCUACUGGGAGGCUGAGGUGGGAGGAUUCAUUGAGCCCUGGAGGCUGAGGCUACAGUAAGCUGUGACUGCACUACUGCACUCCAGCCUGGAUGACACAGCGAGACUCUGUCUCAAAAUAAAUAAAUUUAUUUAUUAAUACCGCAUCAAUCGGUAUUUCCCAAUUUUCAUAAUUGAACUGUGGUUGUAUAAGAGAAUGCCCGUGGCCAGGCGCAGUAGUCCCUGCUACUUGGGGGUUGAGACAGGCGAAACCCUGUCUCCACUAAUAAUAUAAAAAUUAGCAGGUCAUGGUGGCACAUGCCUGUAAUUCCAGUACUCAGGAGGCUGAAGCAGGAGAAUCGCUUGAACCUGGGAGGUGGAGGUUGCAGUGAACCAAGUUUGUGCCACUGCACUCCAGCCUGGACAAUAGUGUGAGACUCCGUCUCAAAUAAAAAUAAAAAUAAAAGAAGUUGCCUGGCUUAGUUGUGCUUACUGGACUCAGAGCCCCACAUGGAGUCUGCUGACCUGUCUUGGGAUUGAAGGGUGAUGGGUGAGAAGGAUGGAGAAUUUGUAAAGGGCCGGCAGUCUCCCUGAUCUGUCUUUUCUAAUUUUGUAGUCAGACUCCUCCUAUUUGGUUCCUGGGCGACCUUCAGUUCUUGAAUUUUAGGGUUCCAAACAACAAGUGUUAAGUGAAGUUUGGGGCCUUUUAAAAGGUUUCAGUGCUUGAAAUUUGAGACAAUAAUAAUAGCUGCCAUCUUACAGUGAGUUUGUCAGCUCUGGGUUGUGAAUUUUAUGUCUGUGACUGCAUCUCAUCUCAUUGAUGUAAAAAGUAAAAUUACUUUUGCCAAGUACUGCCUUCAG
This is a long non-coding RNA of Pan troglodytes (chimpanzee), 8787 nucleotides long. RefSeq lists it as uncharacterized. The transcript has 6 exons. The record is from RefSeq and is a predicted model, not a curated record. Lineage: Eukaryota; Metazoa; Chordata; Mammalia; Primates; Hominidae.